RNAcentral lists this unclassified non-coding RNA (231 nucleotides) under plant metagenome. RNAcentral's name for it is "partial contains small subunit ribosomal RNA, internal transcribed spacer 1, and 5.8S ribosomal RNA". The record is from RNAcentral.
UCUCCGUUGGUGAACCAGCGGAGGGAUCAUUACAGAGUUGCAGAACUCCCAAACCAUUGUGAACGUUACCUAUCCCGUUGCUUCGGCGGGCGGCCCGGGCCCCGCGCCCGGCGCCCCCCGGCCCCCCGUGGGCGCCCGCCGGAGGUAAACCAAACCCUUGAAUUGCAUGGCCUCUCUGAGUCUUCUGUACUGAAUAAGUCGAAACUUUCAACAACGGAUCUCUUGGUUCUG